CACGCUGGGAGGAUGGUGUUGAGUGGACUGUCCGAGCUCAACCAGCAGGUAACCAUUCACAUAAUUGUACAGCAUUCAUCAGACCAGAUAUAUAGUUCCCACUGGGCACAGACGUCAUUUCAGCGUGUAGUUUUUAGUUACAUUUGGUUGAGUUCAAUGUGAAAUCAAUAAAACAAAUGUACCAUGUCAUUGGACUUAGGUUAAAAGUUGGGUGAAAAAAAUACGUUGAUGACUUUUUUCAAUUCCAAUCAGUUUUCCAUGUUGAUUCAACAUCAUCACAUUACAUUUUUGUUGUUGAUAUGACAAGGAAACAACGUUGAUUCAACCAGUCUUUGCCCAGUGGCUUACAUUUAGGCAAUAGUGAUUUGUAAGGUUUAGUUGAAAAGUUCCAAUGUCUUACAAGCCAAACAAUCAGAAUUACAGAGCUGAAUCUUUGAGUUUAUGAUCCAAGUUCUAAGGAAUUUUAUGAUUGUUUUGUUUUGAGGAUGUGAGGCAGUUUCAGCAGGCCUAUGACAUCCUGGUGAACUUCAUUAAUGAGCCAGCAAACAGGGAGCGACUAGAGCUGGAGAUGGCUCUUGUAGGAGUAGGUUUACAUACAAGCUUGAGCGUUAGCUGCAGGCACCGUCUGCUCAUCCAACAUCUACUCAAUGAGACUUUCUAAAGUGCUUGUCAAUGAAAAUGAUGUAAUUAUCUUAUUUGUUCGACUUCAGAUCAACCACAUCAACUUCACGGAUGUAUUUUAUGAAUUUGUUCUACUAAGCCUUCUGGAAGGAAAAACAUCUAUUCCAACAUCUAGGCCUGGUACCUUCUUUUAUCUGCUCGUGGAAGUGAUCAUGAGGAUUCACCCUCCUGGAGAAGCCUGGACAGAGUCUGCUGGGAACUUCUACCUCCUCAUUAAGGUGCAUUUCUCUCUCUCCCUCUCUCUCUCUUUAUCCUGAACUGUGUGUGAUGGUUUGUUCAUCCUUAUCUUUGUACUUGGUCAUUAAAUAAUAGUUGAUGAUGUGUCUGUUGUCGUCAGGAUCAGAUGAAGGCGUGGUUGGACUCCAUCUUCAACCUCGAUGAGUCCAUCUAUGAAAGCCCACAGAGGCUCUCGUGGCAGGUGAUGGUGAAUCUAGAAAUGCAGGUUGACUUCCUCCUGUCCAGCCUGGAUUAAGGGUCCCAAACUGAGCUGAGGAUCCCAAACAUAAAAUAAAGUAUUUUGCAUUUAAACAUUACCUGUCAAUCUGAAACUAAUUUUACAUCAUGUCAAAACAAAUCAAAUGUUAUUGGUCACAAACACAUGGUUAGCAGAUGUUAAUGCGAGUGUAGUGAAAUGCUUGUGCUUCUAGUUCCGACCGUGCAGGAAA
Salmo trutta (river trout) is the source of this 1346-nucleotide long non-coding RNA. The record is from Ensembl. Lineage: Eukaryota; Metazoa; Chordata; Actinopteri; Salmoniformes; Salmonidae.